GACGAACGCUGGCGGCGUGUUUAACACAUGCAAGUCGAACGGUGAAGCUCCAGCUUGCUGGAGUGGAUCAGUGGCGAACGGGUGAGUAACACGUGAGCAACCUGCCCCUGACUCUGGAAUAAGCGCUGGAAACGGCGUCUAAUACUGGAUACGAGAAGGGUCCGCAUGGGCACUUUCUGGAAAGUUUUUCGGUUGGGGAUGGGCUCGCGGCCUAUCAGCUUGUUGGUGAGGUAAUGGCUCACCAAGGCGACGACGGGUAGCCGGCCUGAGAGGGCGACCGGCCACACUGGGACUGAGACACGGCCCAGACUCCUACGGGAGGCAGCAGUGGGGAAUAUUGCACAAUGGGCGAAAGCCUGAUGCAGCGACGCCGCGUGAGGGAUGACGGCCUUCGGGUUGUAAACCUCUUUCAGCAGGGAAGAAGCGAAAGUGACGGUACCUGCAGAAGAAGCACCGGCUAACUACGUG
RNAcentral lists this ribosomal RNA (468 nucleotides) under uncultured bacterium. RNAcentral describes it as "partial 16S ribosomal RNA". It matches the Rfam family "Bacterial small subunit ribosomal RNA", at positions 28 to 507 of the family's 1533-position model. The record is from RNAcentral.